UUAAGUUCAGCGGGUAAUCCUGCCUGAUCUGAGGUCUAAUCUUAGAAAGAAUGACUAGAUAGAGUGCUAUGAGCAUCGAUCGUUAUCUAACAUGGCCACCGCAAGCAGUGUCCUCAGCGAAUAGUCUAUUACGCUGAGUCAAUCCACGUUUCGAAAUUGAGAUGCUAAUGAAUUUUAAACGAGCUAGCGUUCACGAGGAA
RNAcentral lists this unclassified non-coding RNA (200 nucleotides) under Rhodotorula sp. RNAcentral's name for it is "partial internal transcribed spacer 2". The record is from RNAcentral. Lineage: Eukaryota; Fungi; Basidiomycota; Microbotryomycetes; Sporidiobolales; Sporidiobolaceae.